UAGCAAUAGGUUGAUGGCGACCGGCGCACGGGUGAGUAACACGUAUCCAACCUACCGGUUAUUCUGGGAUAGCCUUUCGAAAGAAAGAUUAAUACCGGAUAGUAUAACGAGAAGGCAUCUUUUUGUUAUUAAAGAAUUUCGAUAAUCGAUGGGGAUGCGUUCCAUUAGUUUGUUGGCGGGGUAACGGCCCACCAAGACAUCGAUGGAUAGGGGUUCUGAGAGGAAGGUCCCCCACAUUGGAACUGAGACACGGUCCAAACUCCUACGGGAGGCAGCAGUGAGGAAUAUUGGUCAAUGGACGAGAGUCUGAACCAGCCAAGUAGCGUGAAGGAUGACUGCCCUAUGGGUUGUAAACUUCUUUUAUAUGGGAAUAAAGUGAGCCACGUGUGGCUUUUUGUAUGUACCAUACGAAUAAGGAUCGGCUAACUCCGUGCCAGCAGCCGCGGUAAUACGGAGGAUCCGAGCGUUAUCCGGAUUUAUUGGGUUUAAAGGGAGCGUAGGCGGACUAUUAAGUCAGCUGUGAAAGUUUGCGGCUCAACCGUAAAAUUGCAGUUGAUACUGGUCGUCUUGAGUGCAGUAGAGGUAGGCGGAAUUCGUGGUGUAGCGGUGAAAUGCUUAGAUAUCACGAAGAACUCCGAUUGCGAAGGCAGCUUACUGGACUGUAACUGACGCUGAUGCUCGAAAGUGUGGGUAUCAAACAGGAUUAGAUACCCUGGUAGUCCACACAGUAAACGAUGAAUACUCGCUGUUUGCGAUAUACAGCAAGCGGCCAAGCGAAAGCAUUAAGUAUUCCACCUGGGGAGUACGCCGGCAACGGUGAAACUCAAAGGAAUUGACGGGGG
RNAcentral lists this ribosomal RNA (842 nucleotides) under uncultured bacterium. Its description in RNAcentral is "bacterial SSU rRNA". It matches the Rfam family "Bacterial small subunit ribosomal RNA", at positions 77 to 919 of the family's 1533-position model. The record is from RNAcentral.